AGCGAACGCUGGCGGCAGGCCUAACACAUGCAAGUCGAGCGGCCGUAGCAAUACGGCAGCGGCAGACGGGAGAGUAACACGUGGGAACGCGCCCUUCGGUUCGGAAUAACUCAGGGAAACUUGGGCUAAUACCGGAUACGCCCUUACGGGGAAAGACUUAUUGCCGAAGGAACGGCCCGCGUCCGAUUAGCUUGUUGGUGAGGUAACGGCUCACCAAGGCGACGAUCGGUAGCUGGUCUGAGAGGAUGACCAGCCUCACUGGGACUGAGACACGGCCCAGACUCCUACGGGAGGCAGCAGUGGGGAAUAUUGACAAUGGGCGCAAGCCUGAUCCAGCCAUGCCGCGUGGGUGAUGAAGGCCCUAGGGUUGUAAAGCCCUUUCGGCGGGGAAGAUAAUGACGGUACCCGCAGAAGAAGCCCCGGCUAACUUCGUGCCAGCCGCCGCUGUAA
RNAcentral lists this ribosomal RNA (450 nucleotides) under uncultured bacterium. RNAcentral describes it as "partial 16S ribosomal RNA". It matches the Rfam family "Bacterial small subunit ribosomal RNA", at positions 29 to 523 of the family's 1533-position model. The record is from RNAcentral.